CCUACGGGGGGCUGCAGUGGGGAAUAUUGGGCAAUGGGCGCAAGCCUGACCCAGCGACGCCGCGUGAGGGAAGACGGUCUUCGGAUUGUAAACCUCUGUUGCAGGGGAAGAAUAAAGUGACGGUACCCUGCGAGGAAGCCCCGGCAAACUACGUGCCAGCAGCCGCGGUAACACGUAGGGGGCGAGCGUUGUCCGGAAUUACUGGGCGUAAAGGGUGCGUAGGCUGCGAGACAAGUCGGGUGUAAAAGGCACGGGCUCAACCUGUGUGUGCACUCGAAACUGUUUUGCUGGAGGGGUAGAGAGGCAAGCGGAAUUCCCGGUGUAGCGGUGAAAUGCGUAGAUAUCGGGAAGAACACCAGUGGCGAAGGCGGCUUGCUAGCUACACCCUGACGCUGAGGCACGAAAGCCAGGGGAGCGAACCGGAUUAGAUACCCCGGUAGUC
RNAcentral lists this ribosomal RNA (442 nucleotides) under uncultured Dethiosulfovibrio sp. RNAcentral's name for it is "bacterial SSU rRNA". It matches the Rfam family "Bacterial small subunit ribosomal RNA", at positions 338 to 795 of the family's 1533-position model. Lineage: Bacteria; Thermotogati; Synergistota; Synergistia; Synergistales; Dethiosulfovibrionaceae. The record is from RNAcentral.